UACGUAGGGUGCGAGCGUUGUCCGGAAUUAUUGGGCGUAAAGAGCUCGUAGGCGGUUUGUUGCGUCGGCCGUGAAAACUUGGGGCUUAACCCCGAGCCUGCGGUCGAUACGGGCAGACUUGAGUUCGGCAGGGGAGAGUGGAAUUCCCGGUGUAGCGGUGAAAUGCGCAGAUAUCGGGAAGAACACCCGUGGCGAAGGCGGCUCUCUGGGACGGUACUGACGCUGAGACGCGAAAGCGUGGGGAGCGAACAGG
This 253-nucleotide ribosomal RNA is filed under the name uncultured bacterium. RNAcentral's name for it is "partial 16S ribosomal RNA". It matches the Rfam family "Bacterial small subunit ribosomal RNA", at positions 524 to 776 of the family's 1533-position model. The record is from RNAcentral.